Molecule: ribosomal RNA, 274 nt
Filed under: uncultured bacterium
Lineage: Bacteria
Description: partial 16S ribosomal RNA
Rfam family: Bacterial small subunit ribosomal RNA
Source: RNAcentral
AUACAGAGGGUGCAAGCGUUAAUCGGAAUUACUGGGCGUAAAGCGCGCGUAGGCGGCUUUGUAAGUCGGAUGUGAAAGCCCUGGGCUCAACCUGGGAAUGGCAUUCGAUACUGCAUGACUAGAGUAUGGUAGAGGAAACUAGAAUUCCCGGUGUAGCGGUGAAAUGCGUAGAUAUCGGGAGGAAUACCUAUGGCGAAAGCAGGUUUCUGGGCCACCACUGACGCUGAUCCGCGAAAGCUAGGGGAGCAAACAGGAUUAGAAACCCCGGUAGUCC